AUACCACUUGUCAGAUCGUUGACACUAACCAUUAAUCUCAAAAGCUCGAGCUGUUAGAAAUACACAACCAAUUAACUUAAAGCGUACAAAUACAGCGCCCACGGAUCUCGAUUGUGACUCGGCCCACCCGGCCUCACGCCACUUCGAACAUGACUCGGCCCACCUAGCCUCACGCCAGUUCGAACGUGACUCGGCCCAACCCGGCCUACUACCACAGGGCAGAAUACUGGCC
This 232-nucleotide long non-coding RNA is filed under the name Ananas comosus (pineapple). RNAcentral's name for it is "long non-coding RNA (ACOM_LNC034900)". Lineage: Eukaryota; Viridiplantae; Streptophyta; Magnoliopsida; Poales; Bromeliaceae. The record is from RNAcentral.